CAAGUCGUACGGGCCGCAAGGCCAGUGGCGCAAGGGUGAGUAAGGCGACGGUAACCAACCCCAUGAUUGGGGAUAGCCGCGGGAAACUGCGGGUAAUCCCCAGCGACGUCCGCGGGAGGCAUCUCCCGGGGACCAAAGCUCCGGCGUCGUGGGACGGGCUGUCGUGGUAUUAGGUCGUUGGCGGGGUAACGGCCCACCAAGCCUGCGAUGCCUACCGGGCGUGCGAGCGUGGCCCGGCACACUGGGACUGAGACACUGCCCAGACUCCUACGGGAGGCUGCAGUCGAGAAUCUUCGGCAAUGGGCGCAAGCCUGACCGAGCGACGCCGCGUGGAGGACGAAGGCCUUCGGGUUGUAAACUCCUGUCGAGGGGGAAGAAGGCCCCGCGAGGGGCUUGACUGAUCCCUGGAGGAAGCACGGGCUAAGUUCGUGCCAGCAGCCGCGGUAAGACGAACCGUGCGAACGUUAUUCGGAAUCACUGGGCUUAAAGCGCGUGUAGGCGGGACGGCACGUCGGUCGCUGAAAGCCCCCGGCUCAACCGGGGAACGGGCGCCGAUACGACCGCCCUCGAGGAACGUAGGGGGACCUGGAACUUCCGGUGGAGCGGUGAAAUGCGUUGAGAUCGGAAGGAACGCCCGUGGCGAAAGCGAGGUCCUGGACGUUUACUGACGCUGAGACGCGAAAGCCAGGGGAGCGAACGGGAUUAGAUACCCCGGUAGUCCUGGCCGUAAACGAUGGGCACUGGGUAGGGGGCUCGCCGAUGGGCUCCCUGCCGUAGGGAAACCGUGAAGUGCCCCCGCCUGGGGAGUAUGGUCGCAAGGCUGAAACUCAAAGGAAUUGACGGGGGCUC
This 849-nucleotide ribosomal RNA is filed under the name uncultured Planctomycetia bacterium. RNAcentral describes it as "bacterial SSU rRNA". It matches the Rfam family "Bacterial small subunit ribosomal RNA", at positions 58 to 922 of the family's 1533-position model. Lineage: Bacteria; Pseudomonadati; Planctomycetota; Planctomycetia. The record is from RNAcentral.